Molecule: long non-coding RNA, 306 nt
Filed under: Elaeis guineensis (African oil palm)
Lineage: Eukaryota; Viridiplantae; Streptophyta; Magnoliopsida; Arecales; Arecaceae
Description: long non-coding RNA (EGUI_LNC031843)
Source: RNAcentral
GGAGCUGAUCUUGGAAGCUUGAGUCCAAGAUCGGUUGCUGGCACACUUUCGGAGUUCCUCAAGCUCCUUCAUAAAGUCAGCCUUUUUCCAGGUGUAGUCCAUGAAGCCCUUUUUGUGGAGGUCCCGAAAGUGAGCAGCCUCCGCGGUGACUUUCGAAUGGCUCUUCCUCAGUUGGUGAAAUUCGUCAUCCAGCUUCUUAGAUUUUUUCGUCAGGCGACGGACUUUCCUUCUCAGGUCCCGGACCAUCAACUUCAGAGGAAUCCCCUGUGGUAGGGGGAGAGCUUCGGCGGAGCACUAUCGUUGGAA